ACAUGCAAGUCGAGGGAGAAGCCUUCGGGCUGAAACCGGCGCACGGGUGCGUAACGCGUAUACAAUCUGCCUUUCACAUAGGGAUAGCCCGAAGAAAUUUGGAUUAAUACCUAAUGGUAUAUAGGAGCGGCAUCGUUUUUAUAUUAAAGCUACGGUGGUGAAAGAUGAGUAUGCGUUCUAUUAGCUAGUUGGAGAGGUAACGGCUCCCCAAGGCGACGAUAGAUAGGGGUUCUGAGAGGGAUGUCCCCCACACUGGUACUGAGAUACGGACCAGACUCCUACGGGAGGCAGCAGUGAGGAAUAUUGGACAAUGGUCGGAAGACUGAUCCAGCCAUGCCGCGUGCAGGAUGAAGGUCCUAUGGAUUGUAAACUGCUUUUGUAAGGGAAGAAUAAGGGGUACGUGUACUUUGAUGACGGUACCUUACGAAUAAGCAUCGGCUAACUCCGUGCCAGCAGCCGCGGUGAUACGGAGGAUGCGAGCGUUAUCCGGAAUCAUUGGGUUUAAAGGGUCCGUAGGUGGGCUAAUAGGUCAGAGGUGAAAGCGUUCAGCUCAACUGAGCAACUGCCUUUGAAUCUGUUAGUCUUGAAUGAUUGUGAAGUAGUUGGAAUGUGUAGUGUAGCGGUGAAAUGCUUAGAUAUUACACAGAACACCGAUAGCGAAGGCAUAUUACUAACAAUUUAUUGACGCUGAUGGACGAAAGCGUGGGGAGCGAACAGGAUUAGAUACCCUGGUAGUCCACGCUGUAAACGAUGGAUACUAGCUGUUUGGAGCAAUCUGAGUGGCUAAGCGAAAGUGAUAAGUAUCCCACCUGGGGAGUACGC
This 822-nucleotide ribosomal RNA is filed under the name uncultured Bacteroidota bacterium. Its description in RNAcentral is "bacterial SSU rRNA". It matches the Rfam family "Bacterial small subunit ribosomal RNA", at positions 53 to 885 of the family's 1533-position model. The record is from RNAcentral. Lineage: Bacteria; Pseudomonadati; Bacteroidota.